Molecule: ribosomal RNA, 468 nt
Filed under: uncultured bacterium
Lineage: Bacteria
Description: partial 16S ribosomal RNA
Rfam family: Bacterial small subunit ribosomal RNA
Source: RNAcentral
GACGAACGCUGGCGGCGUGCUUAACACAUGCAAGUCGAACGGAAAGGCCCUGCUUUUGUGGGGUGCUCGAGUGGCGAACGGGUGAGUAACACGUGAGUAACCUGCCCUUGACUUUGGGAUAACUUCAGGAAACUGGGGCUAAUACCGGAUAGGAGCUCCUGCUGCAUGGUGGGGGUUGGAAAGUUUCGGCGGUUGGGGAUGGACUCGCGGCUUAUCAGCUUGUUGGUGGGGUAGUGGCUUACCAAGGCUUUGACGGGUAGCCGGCCUGAGAGGGUGACCGGCCACAUUGGUUCUGAUCUACGGCCCAUACUCCUACGGGAGUCAGCAGUGGGGAAUAUUGCUCUCUGUGCGGAAGCCUGUUGCAGCAACGCCUCGUGCGGGAUGACUUCCGUCGGGUUGUAAACCUCUUUCGCCUGUGACGAAGCGUUAGUGACGGUUCUGGGUAAUGAAGCACCGGCUAACUUCGUG